Molecule: non-coding RNA, 30 nt
Filed under: Mus musculus (house mouse)
Lineage: Eukaryota; Metazoa; Chordata; Mammalia; Rodentia; Muridae
Source: RNAcentral
UUGACUCAGAGUUUGAGGGUAAAGUCCAUC